RNAcentral lists this ribosomal RNA (330 nucleotides) under Triticum aestivum (bread wheat). Its description in RNAcentral is "partial small subunit ribosomal RNA". The record is from RNAcentral. Lineage: Eukaryota; Viridiplantae; Streptophyta; Magnoliopsida; Poales; Poaceae.
AUGAAAAGGAAAAAAAAAAGAGUAACAUUAAUCCUCAUUGAGGAGUUGCAGCCACCGAAAAAGAUGCAAGUGUGUAUGACCCUGACAUGGGUUGAAAGUCAUACACACACCAACCAAAAAGCCACCGAGGAAGCCAUUGAUCGUGGGGCGGUAGAAGACGCCACCAUCGAAAUCACAAUUUGGAGGCGAUCUGACAAUCCCAUGCUUUCGUCGCCAGUGUCUGUUGAUGGUAAAUCUGGGCAGCCCAAACAAUACAACACGAGUUGUCACUAUCCCGUCAAGGCCAUGAUUAACACCGGGCAAAUUGCCAUGCUCCACAAUCUUUUUUAG